This is a long non-coding RNA of Astatotilapia calliptera (eastern happy), 1132 nucleotides long. The record is from Ensembl. Lineage: Eukaryota; Metazoa; Chordata; Actinopteri; Cichliformes; Cichlidae.
UUCAGUUAUACAUGCUUUUUCCGUUGCUGUCAAUAAAGAUAAAAAAUUAUUUUUUCAUUACUUUUUAGUUCUCAAUUCUAACACCAGACUAUCAAAUAGCCAAACACCAGUCUAUUGGCAGUAUGUGAUCAUUUAUAUUAGCAUUUAUAUCUAACAAUUUAUAGCUAAAUUGCUAUUACCUAAAUAGCUAAUUGCUAAGAACAAUUAGCUUUUAGCAAUUAACUCUUAGCAACUAGCUAUUUAAAGCUAAAUCAACUUAAUAAUGUACCCACAUUUGUUACAUGAGCCGUUUAGGUUUCUAUAUCGUGCCACAAAUUUGCAUCACACUGCACCGAUUCUUAAUAAUUUAGUACUAACUGACAGCUAGUGGAGGUUUUUGCUGAGCAAAUAGUCUGCAGUUCAGUUUGAAAAGGUCCCCUGGACCAGGGUCUGACAAGUUUAAAAAAAAAAAAAAAAAGAGCAAGAAAGAAGAAAUGGGAGGGAACAUGAGAAUAAACGAGAUAAAUAAGACAUAGUGAUGGAAAACAGGAAGAAUAAGCAACCGAGAAGAUGAGAUAGCACUGAAAAAAAGCAAGUGUCCUGUUUAGGUGGAUGGCUGAGGUCAAUAAAGUGCAGCCUGGUGGAAGAGAAAGAGCCUUACUGCAGUUUUUAUGAGCGGGCCUUUCUCCCUGUUCAUAUGGGGUGGCCUCUCAUAACAGAAGGAAAACAACUAAUCAAUAAUUGAGGAGAGCGGAAAACACCGUGUGCACAGGAACUCCCUAAGGGGAUCCCUUUGCUGUGGAAUAUGUGUUUUGACUUGAGUGUCUAAGUCCAGGUAUUUCUUUUCCUUUUUUUUUUUUUUUUUGCUUGUGUAUCAAAAGGGCUCAUUAUUUUAAACUCUUAUACAUAAUACAGCAGAAACACAUAUCUUGUUAUUCCAGAGCAUGCUUUGCAGAGCUUAUACACAGGGUCAGUGCUUUAAGAGUUACAAAAGACAUAUCUCUGAGGUUAAAAUGUUUCUUUUAUGUGGGCUAUAACAUUUUCAAAGGUCAGCGUGUGCAAAUAAAUCCAAAUAAAUUGUCACAGAUGUGAAUUAAUUAGAUAACCAAGAUAAUAAUAAAAAAAUAAAACAUCACAACAGUAUUUUGAUAGG